GAUGAACGCUAGCGGAAGGCUUAAUACAUGCAAGUCGAGCGGUAGGUGGCUUCGGCCAUUGAGAGCGGCGCACGGGUGAGUAACGCGUACAUGACCUGCCUGUCAGAAGGGGAUAGCCCUGGGAAACUGGGAUUAAUACCCUAUGGUAUUGAUAUUAUGAAUGAUAUCAAUUAAAGUUGAGGCGCUGACAGAUGGAUGUGCGUCUGAUUAGCUAGUUGGUAGGGUAACGGCCUACCAAGGCGACGAUCAGUAGGGGGCGUGAGAGCGUGGUCCCCCACACGGGUACUGAGACACGGACCCGACUCCUACGGGAGGCAGCAGUAAGGAAUAUUGGUCAAUGCCCGCAAGGGUGAACCAGCCAUUCCGCGUGGAGGAUGAAGGCCCUAGUGGUUGUAAACUUCUUUUAGAUGGGAAGAAAUGCUAGAUGUAUCUGGUACCGACGGUACCAUCAGAAUAAGCACCGGCUAACUCCGUGCCCAGCAGCCGCGGU
RNAcentral lists this ribosomal RNA (490 nucleotides) under uncultured bacterium. Its description in RNAcentral is "bacterial SSU rRNA". It matches the Rfam family "Bacterial small subunit ribosomal RNA", at positions 28 to 521 of the family's 1533-position model. The record is from RNAcentral.